Molecule: ribosomal RNA, 850 nt
Filed under: uncultured bacterium
Lineage: Bacteria
Description: bacterial SSU rRNA
Rfam family: Bacterial small subunit ribosomal RNA
Source: RNAcentral
GACGAACGCUGGCGGCGGGCUUAACACAUGCAAGUCGAACGAGAAGCCACCUUCGGGUGGUAGAGAGUGGCGCACGGGUGAGUAACACGUAGGCAACCUGCCCUUGAGCGGGGAAUAACUUCGGGAAACCGGAGCUAAUACCGCAUAUUGUCUGAGAACCGCAUGGUUUUCAGAUGAAAGCCUUCGGGCACUCAAGGAUGGGCCUGCGUUGGAUUAGUUAGUUGGUGAGGUAACAGCUCACCAAGACUGCGAUCCAUAGCUGGUCUGAGAGGAUGAUCAGCCACACUGGCACUGAGACACGGGCCAGACUCCUACGGGAGGCAGCAGUGAGGAAUCUUGGGCAAUGGGGGAAACCCUGACCCAGCCACGCCGCGUGGAGGAAGACACCCCUAUGGGGCGUAAACUCCUUUUAUGUGAGAAGAAGGUCCCGUUCGUCGGGAUUUGACGGUAUCACACGAAUAAGCACCGGCUAACUCCGUGCCAGCAGCCGCGGUAAUACGGAGGGUGCAAGCGUUGUCCGGAAUUAUUGGGUGUAACAGGGUGUGUAGGCGGACUUGUAAGUCAGAGGUGAAAGCCCACGGCUCAACCGUGGAAUUGCCCCUGAUACUGCAGGUCUUGAGUCCUGGAGCAGGUCGCUGGAAUUCGUGGUGUAGCGGUUGAAAUGCGUAGAUAUCACGAGGAACACCAGAGGUGUAAGACGGGUGACUGGACAGGAACUGACGGCUGAGCGCACGAAAGGCGUNGGGGAGCAAACCAGGGAUUAGAUUACCCUGGGUAGUCCACGCCGUAAACGAUGGAUGCUCGGAUGGGCGCCCGUUUANGGGGCGCUUGCCUAAGCUUAACGCCGUUA